GAGGGAAGGGAGAACGGAGGGUCUUCGCCGAAGAAGGAGAGGGCGACGGCGACUGGUCGCACUGUUCGCCAGUAUGGUUGUCUUCAUUGGGCGUCGGAGGUGCGACAGAACUUGGCUAGGUGUUGGGGUUGAUAGUGGCGGAAAGAGAGAAACAGCUGCGGCGCCAUGGCUGGCGUUGCUGAUUUGGUCUCUUGCCGGUGAUGGCGACGGCGGAAGAGGGUAGUUGAUGGCGGCAUGGUGGUUGGAGGCAGCGCGGAUAGAUCAGAGAAGAGGGGGAGAUCGAGAUUUAGAGGGAUUUUGUGGAGAGAGAGGAGAGGGGAGAUAAAGAGAGAGUGUUGGAAGCGGAAGUUUUUAAAAAAUGACUAGGGUUUGGGAUAUUAGAUUCUUAAAAGAAAAUAGAUGGUCGAAAUCAUCUCUGUCGUUAGAUCAAUUUUGAUCAACAACUGGGAUUUAAAAUGGGGUUAACUCUUCAAUUUUGAUAUAUUUGUGACUAAAAUUGACACGAGCUGAAUUUUUGAUAUAUUUGUGACUAAAAUUGACACGAGCUGGAUUAAAAUUGGCUAGAUUUGUAAUAAAUUGGAUAGAAUGGACUAAAAUUAUAGUGACUUAGACAAAAAUUAGACUACAAGAUAAAUUAAUUGGCAAAGUAAUUGUAAUUUGGGUUUUUAUUUAAAUAAUAUAUAAAUAAUGAAUAAUAAUGAUAAUAAAUAAUAAUAAUAAAAAUAAUAACGAAAAUAAAUAAUGCUAAAUAAUGAAAAACUAGAUAAUGCAUUUGCGAAAAAUGUAAGUAUGCCCUGUUAUGUGAUUUCGAUUAGGCUGUUAUUUAAAUUCUAGUAGAGAUAAUAGAAGUAAAUAAAUAAUAUAUAAUAAUAAUAAAUAAUGAUAAUAAUAAUAAUAAAUAAUAUAUAUGAUAACCAUGUUAAUAAGAAGAAGAAUAAUGAUGCUACACUAGACAUGUAUUUGCAAAACGUGAGUGUGGCACGUUAAAAAUUUGUUUGAUACAAAAAAAUGUGUAAAAAAUACUAAAAUGUCAUCUAACAUAGCAUCAAACUUAAUUAACAAAUAGAACACAGUACACAUUCAUGUACACAAAGACCCCCCAAAAGAAAAUGGAUUAGAUGAUAACCAUGUCGCCGGUCGGUCUGUGAAGAGUACAGUGUACGCAGACCUUCUCGAAAACUUAUUCAAACUUGAAGAUUCUUGUAAAAUAAAACACAUCAUGUAGGAUUUUUGCAAAGAUGAGAGUAUGCAGGGUUACGAAGAAAAAAUAAUUUAAUAAAUCUUAAUAAAAUUACGUAAAAAUGUCGUGUUUGAAUGGAUAAAUAUUAUUAAACGAUAUUAAAAGAUAAUAAAAAUAAUUUGUGCACUUUUCUAAAUUAUAAAUGUGACUCUUCAUUAUGUAUUUAAUGUAAGGAUAAUGUGAAAAAUAGUAAUAUAGAAAUUUCAAAAAUUUUGAUAAAACAUCAGCUUAAGCAAUAGCGGGAGGUCAAAAUUGGGUGUCAACAGGGAGAAAAUGAGGAUAGAGUUUGAUAUUUUGUUUAAAAGGAGAGAUUGGUUAAUUUGAUCUCAGCCGUUAGAUCAACUUUGAUCAACGACUGAGAUUAAGACAUUUAAAAGUAGGUCAAUUAGAAUUUAAAUUAGGUUAAAAAAAUACUGAAUUGGAGAUUUCGAUUAAGUUAAUACAACGUAUUAAUAUGAUGAAUUGUCGUUUAAUUGUCUUUAUUAUUAUAACUUCAAUAAUGUAUUAUUACCUCGAUCAUAUGAUGUUAACGUAUUAUUCAAAAUAUUUGGAUAUAUAUAUUCAGUUAGCUAGCUUUUAACUAUAUACAUCACAUACACGAGUAUAUUACCUCGUAAUACAGCGUAUUUUAUUUCUACUCUGAUGAAUUAUUAAUUAAUUUAGCUUACAUUAUUAUAUUAUAAUUUCAAAAAUAUAUUAUUACCUUGAUCAAUCGAUCGUAUGCCAUCAAUGUAUUCAAUAUAUAUAGUUGAUUGACUAUAAAAUUCACAAUAUAUACUAGAUACAUCACAUCCACAUGUAAAUUAACUCGUAAUACAACGUUUUGUAUAUAUACAAUGAUAAAUUAUCAUUUAAUUUAGCUUAUAUUAUUAUAUUAUAACUUCAACAGUAUAUUUUUUUUGAUCAAUCGAUCGUAUGAUAUCAAUGUAUUCAAUAUAUAAUUGAAUACAUUUAACUUUUUUUAAUAUAAAAAUUAUUUAUUUCAUAGUAAAUUAAAAAUCAAACAUCGAAGGACAGUGUCGUUUUCAUAAAGUUAAUUUUUAUUUAGUUUUAACAAAAGCGAUGAUGUCCGUUGUUUUUUGAAAAAAUAAAGAAAAAUUAAAAAUAUUUAUAAAUUGCGACGGACAGUGACGCUUUUAUAGAAUUAAAAUUUUAGAAAAUAAAAAUUAUUGCGACAUUGUCCGUCGCUUUUAAUAAAACUAAACAAAAAAAAUAAAAAGCGACGGACUACUUCGCUUUUUAAAAAGUUAAUUUCUGUACAAAAGCGACGUUGUCCAUCACUUUUUGUAAAAAAUAAAGAAAUAUUAAAAAUAAUUACCAAUUGUGAUGGACAACGUCGCUUUUCUAAAAUUAAAAUUUUUGAAACUAAAAAUUAUUGCAACGUUGUCAGUCUCUUUUAAUAAAAAUAAACAAAAAUAAAAAUUUAAUUUAAAAAGUGACGGACAACGUCGCUUUUCAAAAAAAAAUAUUUAAUUUUAACAAAAGUGACAUUGUCCGUCGUUUUUUCUAAAAACUAAAGAAAAAUUUAAAAUAAUUACAAAUUACGACGGACAACGUCGAUUUUCUAGAAUUAAUAUUUUAAAAAAUAAAAAUUAUAGCGACAUCGUCCGUCGCUUUUAAUAAAAAAUAAAUAAAAAUAAAAAUCAAAUUUAAAAAUCGACGGACUACGUCGAUUUUAAAAAAAAAAUUAUUAUUAUUUUUUAAUAAAUUACGACGAUGUCCGUCACUUUUAUUAAUAAAAUAUUAUGAAUUAUUUUUUAAUUAAUUGGCACAAAAAUUCAUGAAAAAAGCGAUGGAUAUUGUGACGUUGGUCGUCAUUUUUCAUAAAAAAUAAAUAAAAAUUAAAAUUAAACUAAAGAGGCGACGAAAAAAGUGACCUUGGCCAUCGCUUUUAAUAAAAAAUAAAUUAAAAUUAAAAUUAAACUAAAAAAGCGACGGCCAACGUCGCUUUUAAAAGCGACACUGACCGUCGCCUUUUUUUGCGUUGCUUUUUGGCAAUUUUUUAGUAGUGUAUGAAUGCGCGAAAAAUCAUAUUUUAAUGAAUGAUUGCGCUACACUGUCAAUGGCCAAUAGAAGACUGCCACUUGUCCUUAUGUCGUUUGAGAAUGGCCAACCCACUAGCGUAUAGUAGAUGUGAUUCUGCUGAGGGUUGUCGUCGCACCUGAAUACUCUAACACACCGCCCUUUUAUCGGUCCUUUGAUGCAGUCGAGAUCGUUAUCCUCUCGGGUCAUUCCGUUGUUACUAGAGAAGCCAUUCCCUAGUGUUGCGCUUGCUAGAUCUCGAGAUGAUGCUAUCGCGGGCCCGUGCAUAUUACACCCAACCCGGAUCGGCCUAGUCUCAGUCAAAGCUAUUUACCUCAUACAGCUUGAAUCAUGCAUAGCUUUAAGAACCCAUCUGAGAAAAUAUAUGUUCUAUGACUCCCAAUUAACAAAUGAUAGGAUUCAUUUUACAAUAGGAUAGUGAUUUUACCGUAACCAUAUACAGCACUUCAUAUAUGUUGUACCAAGGGCUGUAAUAUUUAUACCUUGGUCUUGGAGGUUGGCAUUACUUUAAUUUCUUUCACUAUUCUUCAUUGAAGCAAGAUUGGAUCGGAUCAGAUAGUUUCACAAUGCAAAUCCAGGGUUUGAAUUUUAGGAGUUGCUACCAUAAUUUUAACUUAAUAUAUUAUAAUAGCUGAAUUAACAGUCAAAUAUUAUAAUGCCUGGAGAUUUAAAAAAUAUUCAAAUAAGUUUUGGGCGAAAGUUAUUAGGUUCCUGUAAUAUCACACGAACAUACAGGAGUUGCCCCUAUUUACGAUAAUUUCCAAAGUUAGGAUACUUGAUCGUCCAAUAUAUGUAACAUUGUUAUUGGCUUAGAAUCUUAAUCAGUACUCAUAAGCUUCUCUUAUUCAGGAGAGUGUCACUUCAGUUUAAAACCAACAUACUUCUUCCCCAGCUAUCCUUAGCUGUGUGUGUUUCGUACUACAUUAAAAACUAUGAUAAAAAGUUUUAAUAAUGCAAAGAAAGGACAAAGAGAAGGUGAUUAAUGGGGUGUCUUCUGAAAAGUCACAUGAUGAGACAUGUCUUUUAAUCUUUUCCACUUUGAAGAUUGCUUGGAAUUAAAGAGAUAUAAUCGACAUUAGUUAAACCAGCUCACAUGCUGCCCAUCCAACUGCCAAUUAACAACAAAAAAAUUUGGCUCGAUAUAUAUAUCGAUGGUUCUUUAAAUUUUUCUACAAAUUUAUUUGGACAUUCAAAUGACGACUUAUUUUAAUUGAACAAUAUUUGUUCACAUCAUAAAAUAUUUCUAUUAGCUAUCUUUUAUCUAAUUUUAGAAAAAAAUUUGAGUGUGUUCUUAAAUGUCUGUUGCAUAAAUAAGUUAAAACAGAUAAAUAUAACAUCUAUAAUAAUUAUACACAUGAACAUUAAUUAGAAAACUUUGGGAGUUCUAAACCUUUAUUAAGGCUAAUUUAGGUAAUGAUCAUUUAACAACACGUGUAAAAAUAUUUUCAAAAUUUGAAUCAAAAGAGUUUAAUAGUAAUAUUUUAUCAUGUUUUCUAAUAUAUAAUAGAAACAAAUCAUAAUGUAAAUAACAAUUUUUUUUUUUGAAAAGUUCAAGGGUCAUUUAAACGCAAGGGGUAAAUUUCUCCUGAAUGCUAAUAAAAGGGUAGUCGCUUUUAGUCUAGUGGAGCUUUGUCCCGGAAUACUUUUAUCAACAGUGUGGAAGCAUCUUUUGACCUAAAACUGUGGAUUGGCCUUUAUAAACUACUUUCUUUAAUUAGCAGUAAUAAUUUGAAAAGUCACAGUCACACACAUGUGUUGUCAGAUUUAAGCAUAGGCCUAGCUUAACUAACAAGAUGAAUUUCUUUAUUAAUUACCAUUCUUAAAAGCCAUUAUUUUCUAGUAAGCAAACUCCAUAUACUUUCAAACUCCUAUCCAAUAUUCUCUCAUCAGUAAUGACCCAUCAUCUCUCUCAGAGUGAAUGUAUUAAGAAUAGGAAACAAUUAUAGAACCAUCUUUCUUCUCUUGUUCUUGUUUUUGUCUCAAUUGUUCAUGGUUUCUGGUAGAUCAUUCCCUCUUAUAGACAAACUUCCUAGAGAAUCAAGAAGAUUAAUUGGUUCAUUCACAUCACUCUCUGUUAAUCCUAGUCAGGUGAAUGAAUCAAUUAUAGCACCUGAGAAAGCUGUGAAAAAAAGUUUAAGGAGAAAGCCUCCAAGUUCUUGGAACCCAAUCCAGAAUAAUUUGCAUCCAUGAUACUCAAAAGUAAAGGUUACUAUGGGGAUGUUUUUUUGGUCCAAGAAGAUUACAUUUUAUAUUGAGUUCAAAAGUACAGGAAACAUUUUGUGUUUGUGAAGAUAUAAAUGAGUCUGUACAAAAAGUACGUACUUGGCAUGGGUGGGAGCACCCAACAGUGGUUUGUAAUUCUGCGGGCGUAUUGUGGUGUGAUUCCACAAGUAGAGUUCCCGGUUGAUAUCAUCCUUUAGGGUAUCCUGAACAAAGAAGGGUGCUUCAUCAAAAACUGUGAUGGAGUUUUUGUGAAGACACGUACAUUAUAUUCAUAGUCACGGUUUAAUUGGGAAUACUAAUUCUAUCAUGCUUUAAUCAGGUUGAAUCGCUAUUCUUCCUAGCAAAUCUCUGGAUUUGGUGUCUGUCGCUCACGCUUUCAUCAGUGAUUACCAUCAUCAUUCGUCAAGUCGAUGAAGAAUCUCUUUAAAAUUUAGUCGAAUUAGUGAUCAGGGGAUGUAAGGAAGCGGAGGAAGCUACGUCAUUUGUUGCACGGACUGGAUUGUACAUGCUUUUUUUUUCUUAUCGUAGAUUUGAAUGUGCCUAUCCUUGUUUUUUUUUCUUUUUUAUAGUUUUGUUUCUUUUACAAAUUUGAGGCAAAUAGAAAGGAGUGGCUUUAGUAAAAAUUAAUGCUCUUCUGACAAUUUUGCAGCUUUUCCUCUCGAACAAAAAGAAAUAAUGAUAAAAUUAUCGCUUUUCCUCCUCGUGCAAGUGUUAAAUUAUCAUUAUUUCUUUGUCUAUAUGAACUACUCCUGGUAGGAAAAGGCUGGACAAUUAAGUGUAUUCAGAGCAUCAAGAUUCAAGAACUCCCUAGCUUGAGAAAGUACUUCUCGUCUGAUUUUCUUGAAGAAUUUGAAGCUUUAUUUAAUGAUAAAAUUUCCUGUAAUUGUUUAGAUGCAUUUUCAUAUCUAUGUUUUCCUUCUUUUUUUGGGUAGUAGCAUUAGGCCUAGAUUAUACCAUGUUGAGUGAAAAUGGCACUCAUCCAUUUGGGAAACAAUAAGUUGUUACUAUAUCUUCCCCCUUCUUAGUCUUAAGUUGUUGCUAUAUUUUUUUUUUGGAGUGGGGGCUAUUGUUUUUAAUCUUAAAUAAAUGAUGGGAAUAUGUACAAAGAACAUAUUUGUGGCGCACUGUUUACAUAUUUACCAAAACAAUAGUUUUUGAGAUAACUGUUUUCCAAUUUUAGUCAUUCAACCAGAAGUUCUUACGGGAACUACUUCAAAUUAUUUGUUUUUAUGAGGUUUAUACUCUUUAUGUUGUAUUUGUAAUCUAUUUUUCAUAUGAAAUUUGAAAGUAAAAGUUAUUUUAAACAUAUUUAUGAUAUAUAAUACUAUAAGGUCAUUAUUCAAAUUUUACUUUGAACUUAACAAAUUAAAUUAAAUUAAAUCAUAUAAACUGGGAUAGAAGAAAAUACAUCGAUUUAUAUAGUAUAAGUAGCAAUUAACAUAUUUUUGCUUUCUAGACAUAUUUAACAUUAUUUAGCUUAUUGCCCUACGAGGGAGUGCUUUUCUCUUAUCCUUUGUUACUAGUACUUUUUAUUCUCUAAUUUUAUUUUAUUUUAACAAACUUAAAAUGUGAAGGGACUUUAAAAUAUUCUUCAAAUUUUUUAUCAUUUAUUAAAAGUCUUUGUUUUAGACAAAAUCAUCUUUUCACUAUUUUUCCUGAUAUUUAACAGUUGAAAAUUAAUUAAAUAUAUUUAUGGUAAAACCUUUCCUAAUUAGAAGUAAUCAAAAUUAAUAACAACUAAUAUUUUCUUAUUAGUUUAAGAAUUUUAAAUCAACUAAACUUGAUUUUAAAAAGAUUUGAAAAAUCUAGAAAUAAAUAUAAAAGCAUUAGAAUAAGAAAAAUUUAAGAAGUAUCAAAUUUUGUAAAAAAUUAAUUACGUAAUAAGAAUAUAAUCGAUGAUUUUUUAAAGAUCUAACUUUAAAAAUAAGAAAACAAUUUAAAUAAAGAAAAAAAAUUAAUCGCACCACAAAUAUGGUUCAAAUUGAUGCUCUCUCUUAUACUCGAGCAACAAUGGAAAGAGGUACUGCAUGACAAACGCAAAAGUAAUGUUCCAUAAAUGACCUGAAACUUCUAGUGGUAAAAUAUGUAUGUGUUUAUACUAAAAUAUAUAUUUUUAUUUACAUCAUUAUAUUAAAGUGUGAAGAAUGUCUGAAAAGUGAUUUGAGAUUUUUACACUUCAUUAAAUAAUCGUGAGAUUAAAUUAGUUAUAAAAAUGAGAGAACAAAAAGAUGAAAUAAAAUGUGAUUCCAUUUGCUAAGAUGUUAGACGGUGAACACACACCUAUAUAAAAUUAUAAAUUAAACUGAAAGAGUAAAGUUCAGGCAAAACAUAAAAGAACAGAAAAAAGAUGCACAUGUGCAUGAGACAGGCACAAAAUAGCAUGGAGGGAGCGCAUGUUAUUGGAUCUGCCAAUAUCUCCAAUGAUUGCUACCUAAAUACUUUUCUCCUGUUACCUUUACAGCUAAAUUGAGUUCUUGAUCUGACUUGUAAUUCAACACGCUAAUGAUAUUUUUUCUAUUUAUUUAAUUUAUGUAUACUAAACAGUGUGAAAAAAUUACUCUAUUAAUAUAACUUAAUUUGCAGGAGUGCGUUGGAAAUCAUUUUUACUAUAUUAUCAAUAAUUACUUUCUAUAAAAAUUUAUUUAUAGAUAACCUUAUUAGUUUGGUAUGUUAUAUGUGAUAAUACACAGAACUUAAGUCUUCUCUUUCCUUUUCUUCCAAAAACCCCUUUUAUCCUACUUCAGAGUUUUUUUUUUUUUUGAAAAACUACAUAAAGUAUCAAACUUAAGCAUGAGAUUAUAAAAAAAUAACAAUAAUUUUAUUAAAUUACAUUUUGUAACAUCCAUAACAUUAUUUUAUGUGAUCCCUACUUUUUAUCCAUUUGGAGAAGUAACUGUAAGUUUUUCCUAUUUUCACGCCAUUAGCUUUCUCUUUCAUUAUUUUGAAAGAUUUUUUGCCAUUUUUUUCACCCUAAAUUAUAUCUUCCCGCUCCCAUUUUUUUUUACUUUGCACGAUUUUAGCAUCAUCAGUAAAGAUUAUCUUCAUCUAUUUCAGGUAACUCUUAAUUUAGCUAUUGCAUGUUAGCAUUUUUUUGGGGGGAGGGGGGAUAAAUUUCAGAAUUAGCAAACUUUAAUAUAUCUCAAAAUCAGAAUUUAAGGUUUUUGAUUUUAAUGGCUGAACAAACACCAAAGUCACGUACAAAUAGUGGUAUAAGUAAUUCAAAUUUGGUCUAUGAUUGUGGACCAUCUUUUAGUCUUGGGUUAACUCAAGAAGAUGUAGUUAAAGUUGUUUCAAAUUCUUUACAGUCGAAGAAAUCUGAGAAACCAGAGGAGAUUAGGUCGAAGUUUCACAACGAUCUACUGAAGAUGAAAAAAAAAUUGAUAAAAAAACCGUUGAAGAAAUCGCCUUCUUAGAAGGAAAAAAAUUUAAAAAAAUCGAGAAGAAAAGGAAAGCGAAAGAAAUUGAAGGUUUGACUAAGGUUGAUGAGGAU
RNAcentral lists this long non-coding RNA (8996 nucleotides) under Capsicum annuum. RNAcentral's name for it is "long non-coding RNA (CANN_LNC021975)". The record is from RNAcentral. Lineage: Eukaryota; Viridiplantae; Streptophyta; Magnoliopsida; Solanales; Solanaceae.